This 479-nucleotide ribosomal RNA is filed under the name uncultured bacterium. Its description in RNAcentral is "bacterial SSU rRNA". It matches the Rfam family "Bacterial small subunit ribosomal RNA", at positions 28 to 507 of the family's 1533-position model. The record is from RNAcentral.
GAUGAACGCUGGCGGCGUGCCUAACACAUGCAAGUCGAACGGAGUUAUUAUUAUGAAGUUUUCGGAUGGAUUAAUAAUAACUUAGUGGCGGACGGGUGAGUAACGCGUGGGUAACCUGCCUCAUACAGGGGGGAUAACAGUUGGAAACGGCUGCUAAAACCGCAUAACAUUGCGACACCGCAUGGUGAUGCAAUUAAAUAUUUAUAGGUAUGAGAUGGGCCCGCGUCUGAUUAGCUAGUUGGUGAGGUAAUGGCUCACCAAGGCGACGAUCAGUAGCCGGCUUGAGAGAGUGACCGGCCACAUUGGGACUGAGACACGGCCCAAACUCCUACGGGAGGCAGCAGUGGGGAAUAUUGCACAAUGGGGGAAACCCUGAUGCAGCGACGCCGCGUGAGUGAAGAAGUAUUUCGGUAUGUAAAGCUCUAUCAGCAGGGAAGAAAAUGACGGUACCUGACUAAGAAGCCCCGGCUAACUACGUG